Long non-coding RNA from Homo sapiens (human), 3817 nucleotides. Ensembl annotates it as long intergenic non-protein coding RNA 3013. The record is from Ensembl. NCBI's taxonomy places the organism in Eukaryota, Metazoa, Chordata, Mammalia, Primates, Hominidae.
AGGAUAGAAGGAGACAGGCAGGCCAGAUGGCUGUUAACCGUGUGGUGUGUCCCAACUUUCCAGCAUCAAUUUAAUGGCCAAAUUAAAAUGUAAGUCAACUUAAGCCAAGGUCAAUUUUAAUCCUAUGCUUUGCUGGUGAUACAGAAUCAUUAACGGUAUCAAUAAUGCCCACAUUCAACUCAUUCUACAAUGGGGGCAAUUGUAAUUUUGGUCUGGAUAUGUUUAACAAAAUGGAAAGGAAGAAGGCAAAACCACGGAACUAUUUUUUUUUUUUCUUUAGACGGAGUCUUGCUCUAUCUGUCACCCAGGCUGGAGUACAGUGGUGCGAUCUUGGCUCACUGCAGCCUCCGCCUCCUGGGUUCAGGCAAUUCUACUGCCUCAGCCUCCCGAGCAGCUGGGAUUACAGGUGUGUGCCGCCACGCCCUGCUAAUUUUUGUAUUUUUAGUAGAGACGGGGUUUUACCAUGUUGGCCAGAUGGUCUUGAUCUCCUGACCUCAGGUGAUCCGCCCGCCUCAGCCUCCCAAAGUGUUGGAAUUACAGGCGUGAGCCACCAUUCCCAGCUGGAACUAUUUUUUUAAACUGAUGCACAUUAAUAAGAUUUAGAAAAUCUUGAGAUUUAAUGGACAGUGUUGAGAUUCAUAUAACUUUAUGUUGAGAAUUCUCUUUCCAGGAAUUAUUUAUUUCAGUUAGUCACAUUUUUAUCUUCUACUGAAGUGUAAACUUAAUUUAGUGUAAAUAACUACCAUUUGAAUACUAACAUAAUCUUUUUAUUUGUAUAAAAAAUACAAAAAGAUUGUUUAUGUGUGUGUACACAUAUGUGUCAAGACUAAAAAUUAAGCACGGGGUAAAGUCUUUGGCAAAGGACAAAUAGUCGGCAAGUUCACAGAUUAGAAUUUAGAAUUCCAUCAUGAAGUGGACUAAAUUGUUAGUUUAAAGAAGACUGUGAGUGUCAGCACAUAAAAAGGUAAUCCUGUCUCAAUUGUAGCUACAGAUUGCAAGUCCUGUGUCAAUUCAAAUUUUUGCCAGCAGAUACUAAUGACUUCAUUGAAAGCAGAUGUUUAGAAAUGAAAGUAUAAACACAACCCCAGUUGAUUAAUAUGCUUAUUGUAUUUCCUUGUUGUGAGUCUAGCGAAUAUUUGAUUAUCUUUAAGUUGAUCCAUAGUAUAUUCAACAGUCUCAUGAGAACAUAAUUUUUGUUGAUGAUUUGUCCAAAGUUUCUAUCAAUCCAUCUUAGCAGCAGAGCCAAGUGUUAGAGUUAUUGCUGCCUGAGUUAUAACAGCUGCCCUGGGAAUCUUGUCUGAACAACAAGUUAACUGCUGUUCCCAGUUAUAUCUGGUCUUUCCCACCCCCAAACAUACACAAAAGAUUUUUGUCAUUCUUGGCACUGGACAACAGAAGUGAUAAGACAUGCCAGCAGAACUCUAAAGGCAGAAUGUCCUUCCACCUGUUUUAUGCUGUAAGACAAACUUCCAAGUGCGAGGCAGUGUGGAGGGCUGUUGCCUUGAAUGGCAGCUGAAUGCACCAGCGGGAUCCUUGGCAGCAAUGCCCAGGCACUGAAGUCGGGCAUUCAGGAGAGCUAAAUGGAGAAAAGAAACUUGAGCAAACUGCUUCCUGGAACACUGAGAACCUGAAUGGGAAAUUAAGAAGAACCAGAUUCUUUCUAUUCUUCCACCAGCCAAGGUGAUGAGCACAAAAGGAUCCAUCUUAUACAGUGCUUGCCAGCUUCCAUAAUACUACUCACCACGAUGUUGAAAUCACCUGUUCCAGAACCAGUCCUGUCCUUUGACAAGAAGGAUUUAAUUAUCAGUAGUGGUGGGGACUGGCUGGAGAGAGGAAAAACACUUCAAGGACUCUGCCACCUUUCGUAGAUGGAGAGUGCAAAGUUUGUACCAUGGAACUCCUUCUCUAACAGUUACUCUGUGGCAGUGCCUAUUUCAAACCUCCCUUAACUUCUGAUUGUAUAGAUGUUUGUUUCAUUUGUUCAUCUGUUUGUUCACUUAGUCAGAGAUGUUUUAAGCCUUAAGAGAAAUAGUGGACUAGAAAAUGCCUUGGAAAAGUACAAAGUUCAAUCCAAGUAAACUGUUUUUAAACUAGGAAUUUAUGAAGCCUAAAAUAUAAAAUGUAUAUACAUGGAUAUGCUCUGAAGUGAGGUAGAGGGGUAGAAAUCAACAUUGUGAUAUUGUACUAUAGUUUUGCAAGAUGUUACCAUUGGGGGAAAAUGUUUGAAGGGUAUACGGGAUAUCUCUGCCUUAUUUCUUACAACUGCAUGUGAAUCUACAGUUAUCUCAAAAUAAAAAUUUAAUUAACAAUUGAUUACAAUUAACAGCAUUAAUUUCUUAUCCUGUCAUUUUCCUUCUCCUGAAAUUGCAGAAUAGCCAAACAGAAACCUACCCAUGACCACCAUCUGAGAUUCUUUGGUGCCCGUAUUAGUGGACAUAGGCAGGUGUAUCAGGAGGCAUCCAGUCACGCAUACUGGAAGAUACUGACUCAACUGAUUUAAGCAAAGGAAAAUACAGUGUAUUAUAUAAUGAGACAUCUUGAGUAGGGUAGUCCUAGGGUCAGUUGAUUCAGCAGCUUGAUUGAUAAUCAAGGGCCCAAAUUCUUUCCCACUUUCUACCCUGCCAUCCUCAGCCUAUCAGUUUCGUCCUCCAGCUGGCUUAAAGGUAGUUGCAAGGUGGCUGCUAUCAUGCCAUGCAAAAUGCAAAUGCAAAAAGUAUGCAGAUACAAAAAGUAUCUCUUUUCAUAAGUCUCAUUUUAAGGGCAAGGAAAAACCUGCAGGCCUUUCUGCCACUCUCUUGACCCACUUACUUAACUGUGGAACAAGUCACAAACACCUGUUUAAGUGGAUCACUUGGCCAGGAGGGAGAGAUUGCCAUUAUCCUUAGAUGGAGGAGAAUGGGGGUGGGGGUUGUUAUGCCUGAACAUAAUCAGUGCUCUGCCAGUGAGUAAGAGCAGAGAUGGGGUGAUUAAUAGGCAACCCCUCACCAAGGAGCCAUUGUAAAGCUUCAGGCCAGUUCAGAAGGUGAUGAAGAUGGAAAGCCUCCAAAGCAACCAGAACAACCAGAAGGAACACGCUUUUACAGCUUGCUUCUGAUUCCACACCGCGAGGACAAUGGGUCCAGCAUGCCACACUGAUCCAGGAACUUAGAACUAAGUAAGAAGCAAGGGAGAGAGGCUGCUAUAGCUGAAACCCAGAGAAUGAACUUUCUCCCAGGAGGUUGCAAGGGCUGCCCUUGUAAAAGAUCCUGUCCUGGGUUUAAAGGUUAGCAAAUUUUCUGUUUUGUUUUGCUUUGACUGCAUGAGGGUUGAGUUAAAGUGAAAUAAUAUUUAAGACUUAUUUUUUAAAUAAGAUAUUUUAUGUUUUUAUUUUUGUUUUUUUUUUUUUUUUUGGUUGGUAGAGACAGGGUCUCACUGUGUUGCCCAGGCUGGUUUUGAACACCUGGGCUUCUAAUCCUCCUGCCUCAGCCUCCCAAAGUGCUAGCAUCACAGGCAUGUGCCACCACACCCAACCCCUUAAAAGUCUUUUUACAAAUGAGAACAUGAACAAUUGCCUUUCAGAUUAUUUCCUGGUCAUCAAAGAUUUCUUUCUUUAUUUACAUAAAGGGGACAGGGGUCAGUCUGUGUAUUGGAAGAUGUGCCCAUAUUUGGUCACAUAUUGGAAGAGUACAAAAUUGCCCAAAUAAGGGAUAUUUAUUGCCUUCCUGACUGCAGACUCAAGGAGGCAGGAACUUUGACAUUUUCUCCAAUGCCUAUCUGUAUCCACAUUGCCUGUAACAUAGUAUAUGCUCAAUAAAUAUUGAUUGAACUAAUUAAAAAA